GCCAGGGCUUACAGUGGGCUCAGGGCCUGGGAUACAGGAAGGAGCUGUCAGCCUCCCAUAAACACGACUCAUCCUGCACCGAUGAUACAGAGGGCCUGGGGGUAGCGCUCCCCGGCCACCCCGCUGCCAACCCGCCGUUUUACACUGUGUGCUGCUAAGUUCUAGACUUGUGGAAUCCUACGGGGCUUUCCUUCAGGCGCCGGUCCCCGUCUGUGGUUAUCUUCUCUGCAUGUUUUCCUACACAGCAGUGAAGUACGCUGAUUUCAGGGGGCCGUUACGCUGUUUUUUCAAUGUGGUGCCGUGCCGAGAAAUAGAAACUCAACAGCAGAGGGAACGGACUAAAAGUAGCAGUUCUCAGGAGAAAUAUGGAGAAUUUCUGGAUGAAGAGGUGGACAUCUCCAGCCAAUCCAUGCCAGUGAUAUCGUUGCCUGAGCCACUGGAGAGUAUUUCCUUUUCCUAGCUGAUGUGUUGUGCAUUGAAGUCCACAAGCAAAGGGAAGAGAUGAGAGGAGAAAUGCAAGAAGGAAUACAACUUGGCUGCUAUGAAAGUGAACAGUGUUAAUGCAUGAUCAGUGGUGUAUUCAUUCCGCCGAUUCUGUUGAAAAAAGUUUCUUAAACGGAAGCAAACGGAACAAAACGGGUAAAACAUACCUGAAUUUGUCCAAUACAAACUCUCGUUUGCAACUGUUGUACCAAUGAUUACACCCUACAUCAACUAGAUGCAGGCAAGAUCGUGCAAGGCAGUAUUGAAUGUCACUAUCUGUCCAUGUGUCACUGUCCCCUCAAAUUUGUCUCUUGACCUGUGUUCACCUACAUUGUAAACUUUCAUUCAUAGGCUAGGUUGUAGCAACCUGAUGGGUAGAGGGAAAAUUAGAGUAUCAUGUACUAGCCUAAACUUAUUGCUGUUACAUUGAACUGGG
This 919-nucleotide long non-coding RNA is filed under the name Salmo salar (Atlantic salmon). RNAcentral describes it as "lncRNA (ENSSSAG00000084878.1, ENSSSAG00020074960.1)". Lineage: Eukaryota; Metazoa; Chordata; Actinopteri; Salmoniformes; Salmonidae. The record is from RNAcentral.